UACGUAGGGUGCGAGCGUUGUCCGGAAUUACUGGGCGUAAAGAGCUUGUAGGCGGUUCGUCGCGUCGCUCGUGAAAACUAGCAGCUCAACUGUUAGCUUGCGGGCGAUACGGGCGGACUAGAGUACUGCAGGGGAGACUGGAAUUCCUGGUGUAGCGGUGAAAUGCGCAGAUAUCAGGAGGAACACCGGUGGCGAAGGCGGGUCUCUGGGCAGUAACUGACGCUGAGAAGCGAAAGCGUGGGUAGCGAACAGG
Molecule: ribosomal RNA, 253 nt
Filed under: uncultured prokaryote
Description: partial 16S ribosomal RNA
Rfam family: Bacterial small subunit ribosomal RNA
Source: RNAcentral